RNAcentral lists this ribosomal RNA (396 nucleotides) under uncultured bacterium. RNAcentral describes it as "bacterial SSU rRNA". It matches the Rfam family "Bacterial small subunit ribosomal RNA", at positions 359 to 759 of the family's 1533-position model. The record is from RNAcentral.
AAGUAAGUGCAGGGCGAGCCUGACCGCCCCCCCGUGAGUGAGAGGCCUUCGGGUUGAAAGCUCUUUCGAAGGGAAGAAAAAUUACGCUCUAACAUAGCGUGACGAUGACGGUACCUUGAUAAGAAGCACCGGCUAACUACGUGCCAGCAGCCGCGGUAAUACGUAGGGUGCGAGCGUUAAUCGGAAUUACUGGGCGUAAAGCGUGCGCAGGCGGUUUUGUAAGUCAGAUGUGAAAUCCCCGAGCUCAACUUGGGAACUGCGUUUGAAACUACAAGACUAGAAUAGGUCAGAGGGGGGUAGAAUUCCACGUGUAGCAGUGAGAGGGCGUAGAGAUGUGGAGGAAUAUCAAUGGCGAAGGCAGCCCCCUGGGAUAAUAUUGACGCUCAUGCACGAAAG